CACCAAAAUAUUCGCCAUCGCCCAAAAGAGCGAUCCGCAGGUCUUCACCGUGAGGGCCUUUGCUGACAACCUCUGCCUGACCGCUGGCCACAAUAAAGAAGCGUUGUUUGUCCUUACCCUCCUCUACGAAGAGUUGAUCGACAUCUACCUCUUUGGUUUCGAACGAACUCACCAGACGGUGCAGUAUCUCGUCGUCGAACUCAGAGAAGAGUGGAAUAGCCUUCAGGUUCUUUGCCGUGAACGAUGGUACGCCAUUCACAUACUGAAUGGGCAGGCGGUCGUUCUUACGAAGUUCUACUUUUGUGCGGUUCACACGGAAUGUGCCGCCAGAGACCUGUACCCAAGGAAGGAGUUUCAACAAUAGUCUCGGGGUGAUGGAGCCCAUCUGUGGGGCGGUCUUGGUAGUCGUUGCCAGUCUUCUGGCGGUAGCAGU
Molecule: non-coding RNA, 433 nt
Filed under: uncultured Prevotella sp.
Lineage: Bacteria; Pseudomonadati; Bacteroidota; Bacteroidia; Bacteroidales; Prevotellaceae
Source: RNAcentral